CUGGCUGCUGUUGUGCUCUGAUAGUCACAUCACCCACUCCUGGCAUGAGGUGAAUGUGGAGGUACCACGAGGGCUUUGAGAGAGAAAAUUCACCAUUGCAUUGCUGAGAGGGAGAAGGAAAAUUUCCUCCACAGAAGGCUCAAGGAGUUACUGAAAAUUGAAAGAGCAGAAGAAAAGACGCUGAAAUUCAACCCAAGGGCAAGGAGCUCCGGGCCAGUUUUGCCUCCUGUGAAACGCGGCAACGCCUCUGACACCUCUGGCUGAAGAGAAAUACAAGCAGUGCCCUGAAGUGCUUCCACAGGU
Molecule: long non-coding RNA, 303 nt
Organism: Lepidothrix coronata (blue-crowned manakin)
Lineage: Eukaryota; Metazoa; Chordata; Aves; Passeriformes; Pipridae
Exons: 3
Source: RefSeq, a predicted model, not a curated record